This 254-nucleotide ribosomal RNA is filed under the name uncultured bacterium. RNAcentral's name for it is "partial 16S ribosomal RNA". It matches the Rfam family "Archaeal small subunit ribosomal RNA", at positions 474 to 727 of the family's 1478-position model. The record is from RNAcentral.
CACCAGCGCCACAAGUGGCAACCAUGAUUAUUGGGCCUAAAGCGUUCGUAGCCGGUUUAGUAAAUUUUCUGUGAAAUCGUCUGGCUUAACCAAACGACGUGCAGAAAACACUGCUAAACUAGAGACCGGGAGGAGCUAGGAGUAUUCAUGGGGGAGCGGUAAAAUGUUAUAAUCCUUUGAAGACUACCUGUGGCGAAGGCGCCUAGCUAGAACGGAUCUGACGGUGAGGGACGAAAGCCAGGGGAGCGAUCCGG